GAUGAAGAACGCAGCGAAAUGCGAUAAGUAAUGUGAAUUGCAGAAUUCAGUGAAUCAUCGAAUCUUUGAACGCACAUUGCGCCCGCCAGUAUUCUGGCGAGCAUGCCUGUUCGAGCGUCAUUUCAACCAUCAAGCCCCAGGCUUGUGUUGGAGCCCUGCGGCUGCCGCAGCCCCCCAAAACCAGUGGCGGGCUCGCUAUCACACCGAGUGCAGUAGUUUACUCUUCGCUCAGGGCGUGUGGCGGGUGCUAGCCGUGAAACCCCCAACUUCUCAAGGUUGACCUCGGAUCAGGUAGGAAUACCCGCUGAACUUAAGCAUAUCAAUAAGCGGAGGA
RNAcentral lists this unclassified non-coding RNA (334 nucleotides) under soil metagenome. RNAcentral describes it as "partial contains 5.8S ribosomal RNA, internal transcribed spacer 2, and large subunit ribosomal RNA". The stretch from base 1 to 120 matches the Rfam family "5.8S ribosomal RNA", at positions 35 to 154 of the family's 154-position model. The record is from RNAcentral.